CCAAUAUAGAAUGUUUAUUGUACCAUAUCCCCUCUUCAUUCUAGCCCUGACAUCUUCCAGGAAAAAAAAAGUGCAACAUAUCAGCUUGAUGACAAAUGAGAAUGCCUCCCUUUGAAGUUUCUGAAAAUAAUGUGAAAGAUUAGGAAAACAGUACUGCCUCCCACUACAUUCUGUGUUUUCUUCCUCUCUUCUGCUGCAAGAGGGAUUUGUUUUACUAUUUCUCCACUGACAUCAGAGAUUAUGACAACAAACAUGGCCAGCCAUGGAUCAGAACGAUGGAGCACUUCAGAUCCAGGGCCUUUCUUGAGUUUUCUAGAGCAUGGAAGAUUGGCAUUCUGAAACACAAUGAGUCAAAAAUGUCAGUACUGAAGAUAUAUAUGUAUCAAAAGCUGCUGAAAAUAACUUCUAAAGACAUGGAUAAUUUUACUCUAUCUUGCUCACCUAGAAACACUGCGCACACUUUUGUUUUUGUAGUAACAUUUAAAGGACAUAUUUAAAAAGUUGAACAAAAAGUUUGAUAUCAGCACAGAAGCUGACUAUUUCUUCUAUUUCAGUUAGCCACAUGAACAAAUUCAAUUUUUAAACCCUCUCAUUCUCUGCAUUCUCCUUCUAAAGCAAUCACCACAUUUAUUCCUUACCAUUACACAGCGCUUUUUCUCUAACCCACUUGAAGGUUAUAGACCCAGCACUUGCCUAAAAGACGGAAAAAUCCAUCUGAUGUAUAUGGUAUUACUCUGUCCUUUACGUACCUAUUAUAGACUUCUUUGAUGUGGCUUUUUGUUCAGUAUUAGUGACCAUAUGAUUCUAUGGGUAUAACCUCAUUUGACCCUUGAUGCACUGACUCAAAAUAAGUUCAGAAAAAUCAUAAUUGUAAGAAAACUCAUUGAAUUCUGAAUGUGACAUGUUCACGCAUGUGAUUAUGAACAUAAGAAUCCUAAAGUAGUGACUAUGCUUCAAUAUAUG
Molecule: long non-coding RNA, 963 nt
Filed under: Coturnix japonica (Japanese quail)
Lineage: Eukaryota; Metazoa; Chordata; Aves; Galliformes; Phasianidae
Description: lncRNA (ENSCJPG00005004652.1)
Source: RNAcentral